This 303-nucleotide ribosomal RNA is filed under the name uncultured bacterium. RNAcentral describes it as "partial 16S ribosomal RNA". It matches the Rfam family "Bacterial small subunit ribosomal RNA", at positions 507 to 808 of the family's 1533-position model. The record is from RNAcentral.
AGCAGCCGCCGCGGGAAUACGUAGGUGGCAAGCGUUGUCCGGAAUUAUUGGGCGUAAAGGCUCGCAGGCGGUUUCUUAAGUCUGAUGUGAAAGCCCCCGGCUCAACCGGGGAGGGUCAUUGGAAACUGGGAAACCUGAGUGCAGAAGAGGAGAGUGGAAUUCCACGUGUAGCGGUGAAAUGCGUAGAGAUGUGGAGGAACACCAGUGGCGAAGGCGACUCUCUGGUCUGUAACUGACGCUGAGGAGCGAAAGCGUGGGGAGCGAACAGGAUUAGAUACCCCGGUAGUCCCUGUCUCUUAUACA